ACAGGUCAGCACAAGCCCAAGUGACAUUAAGUACUUCUUAGUACUCUUCCUUACUUACCAUCGAUAUUCCAUCGAAAUGUAUCGAUAUAUACAACAUGACAUGCUGCGCAAGUUGACGUGGCUGGUCGGGAGACGACAGCAUUAUGCCGGGCCAUAUGGUUGACGUCAAGCGUUCAUGUCUUCCUUAUUUUCCUGCGGGCCGUGAGAAACCCUUCCCAAAGACGAAGAAAGGGUGGUCAACCUGGCAACCUGAAUGGUCGACAUCAUCUAUGACGGCACCAUCUCCUGCAGUUCAGGAACAUGACUUUUCCAAGCUUCUUCAGCGCGGACCC
Ornithodoros turicata is the source of this 332-nucleotide long non-coding RNA. RefSeq lists it as uncharacterized. The record is from RefSeq and is a predicted model, not a curated record. NCBI's taxonomy places the organism in Eukaryota, Metazoa, Arthropoda, Arachnida, Ixodida, Argasidae. The transcript has 3 exons.